AUGCGAUAAGUAGUGUGAAUUGCAGAAUUCAGUGAAUCAUCGAAUCUUUGAACGCACAUUGCGCCCUUUGGUAUUCCAAAGGGCAUGCCUGUUCGAGCGUCAUUUGUACCCUCAAGCUUUGCUUGGUGUUGGGCGUCUUGUCUCUAGCUUUGCUGGAGACUCGCCUUAAAGUAAUUGGCAGCCGGCCUACUGGUUUCGGAGCGCAGCACAAGUCGCACUCUCUAUCAGCAAAGGUCUAGCAUCCAUUAAGCCUUUUUUCAACUUUUGACCUCGGAUCAGGUAGGGAUACCCGCUGAACUUAA
This 302-nucleotide unclassified non-coding RNA is filed under the name uncultured Alternaria. Its description in RNAcentral is "partial contains 5.8S ribosomal RNA, internal transcribed spacer 2, and large subunit ribosomal RNA". The stretch from base 1 to 102 matches the Rfam family "5.8S ribosomal RNA", at positions 53 to 154 of the family's 154-position model. Lineage: Eukaryota; Fungi; Ascomycota; Dothideomycetes; Pleosporales; Pleosporaceae. The record is from RNAcentral.